Non-coding RNA from Parasteatoda tepidariorum (common house spider), 894 nucleotides. Lineage: Eukaryota; Metazoa; Arthropoda; Arachnida; Araneae; Theridiidae. The record is from RefSeq and is a predicted model, not a curated record.
AUUCAUUAAAUUUUUAAAAAAAAAAUUACAUUAAAAAAAUAAAUGUUUAAAUUUUUUUUCUUUUAGGUUUGUUUAAAUUCCUAACUACAUUUAUGAACAAUACAAGAUGUCUUGCCAUGAAGAACAACAAAAUCUUAUUGCAGAUCACCUUCACCAUAUUCGGAUCUUCUCAAGCCCUUACUGCCCCCUCUGUAACUCUAAUAUCCCUAUCCACACCACAUCCGCCACUGUGCAGUCGUUAGGGGCGACUCCGAGACUGGGCUUUAUUGGAAGGCCAGAGAACUUAUGAGGCAUUAACUUCGGUCAAUUUAUUGUUGUGUCAUCUUUACUUUUGUUCCUGUUCAUUUAUUUUCAUUUUUGUCUUGCCAUUGGAAAUAUUGAAAAAAAAAUGAAUUAAAAGAAAAAGAAAUAUUUCAUAAUAUGGAGACUUUUCUUGUACCUAUCCUACACUUUAGGAGAAAAAAACUUGACGACCUGGAAAUUUUAAUAUGUUUACAUGGAAAAACCUGAAAAAAAUUAGGGAAAUUUAUGACUGGAUUUAAGUGACCACCCUGCUCAGUGUUGGUUGAUGUGAAUAUAAUUGUAUUAAAUGUAAAUUUUUGUCAUGUAGAGGUUUGUUUGAUUUUAAUUUAAUCCAUUCUAUGGAAUUUUCCUGAUUUUAAACUGGGUCUUAUUGUUAUUAUUAUUGUUUAUUUAACCUUAUUUUUUCAUCUUCUCUAAUUAUAAUUUUCUAUUUACAAUACCAGUUUGCUUUUUACAUUUAUAUAACUAUUCUGCUUUAGAUAUUUUAAUAAUAUUUAUGUCAUUUCCCUGAAAAUGCUCAUACGUCAUGAAUUUUGCAGAAAAUUUACUAAAUUGUAAAGUCAUUUUUUACAAUAAAAAAAUUUUGAAUGA